This 283-nucleotide ribosomal RNA is filed under the name uncultured prokaryote. RNAcentral describes it as "partial 16S ribosomal RNA". It matches the Rfam family "Bacterial small subunit ribosomal RNA", at positions 524 to 803 of the family's 1533-position model. The record is from RNAcentral.
UACGUAAGGGGCAAGCGUUGUCCGGAAUUAUUGGGCGUAAAGGGUGCGUAGGCGGCCCUGCAAGUUGGAUGUGAAAUCCCCCGCGCUUAACGUGGGAAUUGCAUACAAAACUGUGGGGCUUGAGUGUGGAAGAGGUAAGUGGAAUUCCCAGUGUAGCGGUGAAAUGCGUAGAUAUUGGGAGGAACACCAGUGGCGAAGGCGACUUACUGGGCCACAACUGACGCUGAGGCACGAAAGCGUGGGGAGCGAACAGGAUUAGAUACCCCGGUAGUCCCUGAGCGGG